AGGACUAACGCUGGCGGCGUGCCUAACACAUGCAAGUCGAACGAGGGGUAGCAAUACCCCUAGUGGCAGACGGGUGAGUAACACGUAGUCAACCUACCUCUUAAUGGGGGAUAACUAGCCGAAAGGUUAGCUAAUACCGCAUACGAUCGUCGAGUGGCAUCACACGACGAUGAAAGGAGCAAUCCGUUGAGAGAGGGGACUGCGUCCCAUUAGUUAGUUGGUGGGGUAAUGGCCUACCAAGACUCCGAUGGGUAGCUGGCUUGAGAGAGCGACCAGCCACACUGGAACUGAGACACGGUCCAGACUCCUACGGGAGGCAGCAGUGAGGAAUUUUUCCGCAAUGGGGGAAACCCUGACGGAGCGACGCCGCGUGUGGGAAGAAGGCCUUCGGGUCGUAAACCACUGUCGAGGGGGACGAUAUUGACGGUACCCCUGGAGGAAGCCCCGGCUAACGUACGCGCCAGCAGCCGC
RNAcentral lists this ribosomal RNA (471 nucleotides) under uncultured bacterium. Its description in RNAcentral is "SSU rRNA". It matches the Rfam family "Bacterial small subunit ribosomal RNA", at positions 26 to 518 of the family's 1533-position model. The record is from RNAcentral.